AUGAGCACCUGGUUUGAAGCUCAUCCUGGUCCCACGCUACCCUCAACUGCCACCACGGCAACAGUUACCAUGCCGACACUCGCAUCCAGCACCAUCCACGGCAACUCCUCCGAAUCUGCCUCCAGAGAUACUAGUCCAGAUGCAAAACAGACAUACUCAUUACGCUGGCAGCCAUCCAGUUUUAAAGAGGCCCAGUCAGUCCUGUUGAAGAAAGCUCUUUCCAGUGGAACAGGUGGAGAGAAGAUCAUAAGUGUUAUAUUGAAAUACAUUGAAUCAGAGCGAAGCAGACUGGAGUCUUCAUCCUCUACUGGAGCAACAAAGAUCUCCAGCAACAAAACCUUCCACACUCAACGUGGCCAGUUCACCCUUAUCUACGUCGCAGGUCAGUUCAAGCCAGCUGAGCUGAUUUUGAAAAAUCUAAUGUUUUAUUCAUUCACCCCCCCCCCCACACACAUAUAUAAGAGAACAUUUCAAAUGAGAUCCCUCUAAUACUUAUAUGGUUUCUCUGACAGCAAUGUGAUUAAAUGAAGAUCUAAUGGAUACUUUGACUUUGUCUCUUUAUAAAGCAGAUGAGAUUUCAAAAUGUGUCAGACUGUGUCUGCAAUCCAAAGUCAGAGAUUUCAUUAUAAUAUCAAACUCAAAGAUACAACCCUGACCUGUAUAUUUCACAUAAUUUUUAUAGCUUUGUAGUUGAACAUAAUCUCAACAAUUGUCUCAUUGUAUGUUUCUAUUCAUUUUUCUUAUUUGUUUAUUCUUAUUUUUAAAUUACAUGAAGCAUAAAUGAGUUGCAAUGCAAACAAUGCAAUUUUCAUCUGGUUGACUGAACAAACAUAUUUUAGCUUUUUGAAGCUUAACGAAACUGUAAAUACAGUAACUGAGAGAUGUGUAGGUUUAAAGGGUAAAAUAAUAUGUCUACCUUUAGUAAUAUUAGUAUAAGUAUUAGUAUAUGAAAAUAGUUCCCAUUGUACAUUUUAAGGCUAUGGCAAUCAGCCAAGGGUCCGAGGCCCACUAAGGUGCCUCAGCAUACUUACAAGGGGCCUUCAAGAAGAGUUACCAUUAUGUUAAAGAUACAUAACCAAUAAAAAUCAUGUUAUUUAUUGUUUUAAUUCACUGCCUCAACAAUAGUUUGUUUUCUUUGAAAAACCUCUUGGUUAUUUAUGUCACGUCUUGGUUACGUAUGUAACCCUCGUUCCCGGAAGGAGGGAACAGAGACGUUACGAAUGGGAUCUCGCCGAGAGCCCAAUCAUAUUCGAGUGGUACAAAACGAGCCAAUGGUACAAAGUACCACAAAGUACCUUGGUCUGCAGGAUUUGCAUCGCGAGCUCUGCCCUGCAGAGCGGGUUUAUAAGGAGCAACGCGAGCAACUCGCAUUCAAGUUUUCCCUGAGGAACAGCAAGUUUUCAGCGGAACAGCAAUGUGACAAGGAGACGUAACGUCUCCGUUCCCUCCUUCAGAGGGACAUAGAGUUACAUACGUAACCAAGACGUUCCCUUUACAGAAGGCAGGUAUCCACCCAGGUGGUGAUACAUAAGAACUCUGAGGUACCCAGCCCUCAGGGUGGAAGUUUCGACGACAGAUCUGGCAAGGAGCUUACCAAGGAAAGACACAUGCUGUGGACAUACACACGUGAGAUUGCCCAGAAAAGUGUAAUGGCGCAGCAAGCGGAUUGACACCGAGCAGGUCCUUACUGGCCCAAAGAGGCGAGUACCCGGGAGGACACGGGCUGUACAUGGAGAUUAUAAAAUUUUGCGAAUGUGUUAGGUGUCGCCCAGCCCGCAGCUCUACAGAUGUCUGUUAGCGGGGCGCCAUGCACCAGCACCCAGGAGGAAGCUACACUCCUAGUUGAGUCUGAUAAGCCAGGACAAUAGCUUCCACUAUCCAGUGGGAUAACCUCUGCUUGGAGACAGCCUUUCUCAUCUGCUGGCCUCCGUAACAGACAAAGAGCUGGUCUGUACGUGCUUGUCCUUCAGCAGGGCCCUGAAGCGGUGCAGAGCAAGCCAUACUGCUAGCAACUCAAGGCAAUUGACAUUCCACCGUUGCACAUGGCACCCCAGCCCGUGCCAGAGGCAUCUGUUGAAACAACAACAUGUCUGGACACCGGUUCUAGGGGCACGCCGGCCUGUAGAAAUGAGGGGUCCAACCACGGGGUAAAGUUUCGGCAGCAGGCCGGAGUGAUGGUCACUCGGAGCCUGCCCUGUCGCCUGCCCAUCUUGGAACUCGGUCAUGAAGCCAGUGCUGAAGCAGUCUCAUAUGGAGUAACCCGAGCGGUUUGACCGCCCCUGCGGAUGCCAUAUGCCCCAGGAGCCUCUGAAACAUUUUCAAUGGAACCGCUCUCUUGCCCUCGAAUUGUCUCAGGCAAUUCAGCAGUGACUGCGCGCGCUCAUUCGUAAAAUGCGCGAACAUAGCGACCAAGUCUAUGUCCAUACCGAGAAAAGAGAUCCUCUGCACAGGGGAGAGCUUACUCUUUUCCCAGUUGACCUGAAGACCCAGUCAGGUGAGGUGUCUGAUCACCAGAUCCCUGUGCUCACACAACCACUCUCGAGAGUGAGCUAGGAUCAGCCAGUCGUAGAGGUAGUUGAGGAUAUGGACACCUUGUUCCCUGAGAGGAGCCAGGGCUCCCUCCGCGACCUACGUAAAGACGCGGGGAGACAGGGGGGCCAACCUGAAUGGGAGAACCUUGUACUGAUAUGCCUGCCCCUCGAAAGCAAACCGAAGAAACGGUCUGUGUCGAGUAAUAAUGUAGACAAAGCGUCUUUGUAAGUAAGCGUCCUUCAGGUCGAUCGCUGCAAACCAAUCCAUCUGACGAAUGCAUUCGAAAAUGCGCUUGGGCAUUAGCAUCUUGAACGGGAGUCUGAAGUAAGGGCUGUAAAAGCCGGACUUCGUGUUGACUGGAGGGACCGACUCUAUCGCGCCCUUUGCCAGCAGGGUCACGACCCCGCGUGCAUGACAGGGGCAUCUUUGCCCACCAUCAUCGCGCAGACACCCCGAAACCUGGGGGGACGCCGGGCGAACUGAAUCACGUAGCUGAGCCUGAGCAUCCGGAUGAGCCAGCGGGAAGGCCUGGGGAGCUUGGGACCACCACGCCAAGCGGAGGUGCUCUGUGGACACACUUGCAUCGCAACAGAAGGCUCCACCGGGGGAAUACCAGCAUACCCCUUGGCCGCCCCACCAUCAAGGGCAGUGAAGGCGGAGGAAGUACCAGAACGGUUUCGGGCAGUUAAAGGUGCCUUCCAUGAACUGGUUACUUCCUGGUUCACUUCCGGGAAGAAAGGAACCAGAGGGGGGUGCUGGCGAUCCGCAUGAGCAGCCCCAAUGAACCAAUCAUCCAGCCUCGAGUGCUCGGGACAGGGCGGAGGAUUCCACUGAGCUUCCGGGAGCUGCGGGAGGAGUAUGAGGUCCGUGGGGCUUGGCCCGGCAAAGAAGCUCUCACAGUCACCCAGGAUGGGUGGCGACAGAGGGAUCUUCUGCACUCCCCUUGAGGAGUGAGAGACGCGAUCGCAGCGAUGCCAUGCUCAUACGCUCUCAAUUGAUGCAUGAGUCAUGCACGAGCACUGCCUCAGCGUGUUGGAUGCCCAGACACUGAAGACAAUGCUCAUGACUGUCAACCGAGGACAGGAAACGACCACAUCCAGAAGGACACUGACGAAACGGGAUCUUGAAAAAGACGUGAAUCGUCAGUGAUUUUAUCUUUUAGGAAUCAAACUGCUCUUUUAGCCGAAGCGCCCAGGGGAAUCACACAUGCAGUGCAACCGCAACCACUUGCUCUGAAGUGUUUUUUUUUUUUUUUUUAUGUACAUAAAACAAAGAUUAUUGGAGUAUAUUUCAAAAUAAAAUACUACUUCAGUCUUAAUGUUUAAUUCAAUGUGUUACUUGCCCUGGCUUCAAAUCAGCUUGAGUAUAGAAUAUCUUGUUUUAAUAAUUUGGCCUGUUUCCUGGUUUAAAUGUUUGUUCCAUGAUAAGGUUUAUCUGCCUGUAGAUUUGGGCUGGUUUGCAUUGAGACAGGCCUUGAUACACCAUUGUAGCGUAUUCCUGCCAUUGUUUAGCUUGGCCGAGAGGUGAUGGUGCAGUAAUUACUCAGGAGAUGGAUGUGGUGUUUUGCUAAUGGAACCCCUGUGUCUCCAUGACCUCAAAACAUACUGAAACGGCCCUCUGUGACAGCGCAUGGAAAGUGUGAGGAGACUGACCUCUUUCUCACUAACUCACAGACAUAGAGAGAGAGAGAGAGAGAGAGAGAGAGAGAGAAAAGAGCGAGAGAGAGAGAGAGAGAGAGAGAGAGAGAGACGUCAAAUGCUGCUUAUCUCUAGAGUUAUGUUCUUUAAACCAUUGAAUAUGCUGUAGCUGAUAAGUGAAGCUCUAGGGAGUUGAAACUUUGAGUGGCAUGUUACAGCAAUUCCUCAGUCUGGUCCAGCACAUUUCUGUUUCAGGUUAUUCAUAGAAUUCACUUAAUAGCAAUCAUAUUUUAUUAUGAAGCAGGAUUAUUAUUGUUAAAUAACACUAAAAUAAAUACUAUUUAAAAAAAAUUAUUAAAUAAAAUAAGCAUUACCUGAAAUAAAAUAAUACAUAAAAAAUGUAUAACUUUCAAAUUUAAAUUAAAACAGAAAAUAUACAAAUGUACAAUGUAAUUCAAAAUAUAUAAAAACAUAUAUAAUAGC
RNAcentral lists this long non-coding RNA (4652 nucleotides) under Carassius auratus (goldfish). Its description in RNAcentral is "lncRNA (ENSCARG00000024231.1)". Lineage: Eukaryota; Metazoa; Chordata; Actinopteri; Cypriniformes; Cyprinidae. The record is from RNAcentral.